AACAUUAACUGCCUGAGUUACUUCCUGGUUUGGUGAGAGCUCAUGACAGAAGCUGCAGAGAUGGAGGAACCUCUGAUAGGAGUUUUAUUAACUCGGUCCAUUUAAAUGGUAAGACGGCAUUCAAAGGUUGUUCAAUUCAUAGCAAAUUCAAAGUUUCAAAUUUAAAGGUUUACUUAAAUCAUUUGAAGUGGUCAUGGUGCGUCGAGUCUGAAUGUGCAGCGUUUCACUAUGAAAUGCCACACAUAUGGCGUUUAACCCCUGUGCUGCCAUUGGUGUAACCCCCACAAUCUCAGCCAACCAACGGCAACGGCCGCUGCUUCUGGCUUCUGCAGCUCUGAAAAAAAAUAUAAAUCUAAGCCAGCUAUGUCUGCAGUUUGGCUAUUUGGAAUUCACUUUGAAUUCUCACAAAUAUUCCUAAAAUUGUCUAUUUUGGUCUAAAAUAUUAAGCUAACUUUAAAUCCAAUCGAAUUCCUGUCAAUUCACGCUUUAGUAAUUAACUGACAGUCUACAGUUGUGUGCAGCAUCUUUUACAACAGUAGUCAACAUGGCGACUCUCUACUCAACAGUGGCCAUGUCUGCUUGGAGUAAGGGACAUUGACAAUCAUAAGGAUUUGUAAAAUUCCAAUAUUAAAUAUUAUGAGCACUGAAUAUCUCCUUCUCUCUAACACAGGACAUGUCAGAAGUCAGGAAGAAUGCUUUUCUGGCUGCCCUUUCUGCCAUAUUUGAUUGGACUUCAUCGCAGGAGGACGACAUACCUACUACAAAUCGAGAAGAAGUGGACAUGCAGUACAGGCCACAGAGGUCGACAUUUAUCCAUCCUUCUGGCAAGGAGAGGUCUACGUGCAAAAACUUCUUCUGGAAGACGUUCUCCACAUGUUGAGUGGGCUUUAAGACAUGGCUUUCCCAUAGAAAUAUUUACCCUGCUUUUUACAGACCCUAAUAGUGCAGUUAUACUUCAAAAACAUACAGCUUCCCGCUAGAUAAAUGAUAGCUGUAUAUUUCACGUACUGUUUCAGUUCAGUGUUUUAUUUUAUGAAGUGGAGAUUGCCAGGUGAAUCUCACUACUGGGGGGUCUUCCAAAAUGAAAGAAGUAAUUCAAUGAACACCUUACACGGCUGUAAAGGCUCCAAACAGCUAAAUUUACUUAAGAAAACUUUCUUAGGAUAUUAAAUUUUUACUUUUUCUAGAAUAUUAAUUCUGAAAAUGAACACAUUUUAAACAUAGUAUAAGACCUGAUGGGAAAGACGAUGCACUGUGUUUAUGGUAUAUCCUCCCAUGUUAUGAUCACUGACACGAUGGGGGCACAAACAAAAAUGGUAUUUAUCUCCGGAAUUAAAGUUUUUUUUCUUUUUAUAAAGAGAGUCUUCAAGGACAGUGCCUUUGACUAUAAUCACUUAAAAAUGAAGUAGAUAUGGUGCUUGCUUAGAGUGACCCUUUAAGCACUAUUUAGAACACUUAUUAUAACCCACAACCUGAUAUAUAUACAGAGAUACAAUAUUACGUAAACAUUUUAGCCUAUCCUGAGAGCGAGAGAUAUGUUUGAGAAAUACAAGUUAAGUACUUUAAUCUAAUUAGUAUUACAAUAAUUGGAUUAUUAAUAUUGGUAUUUACCCUUGUAAACUAUAAAGGUAACCCAUUUAUUUAAAGGAACCCUAUAGGGUCAGGAACACAAACAUGUAUUCCUGACCCUAUAGUGUUAACACCACCAUCUAGCCCCCCUGGGCCUCUAAUGCCUCCAUAAAUAUAGCAAAAUCUUACUGUAUUCAAGCCUGAAGCUGUAACUCUGCAUGCUGUUAGACUCAGAAAAACAAGCAGUCUGCUGACAUCAUCAGAAGUGGUAGCCUGAUCCAGUCACAAUGCUUCCCCAUAGGAUUGGCUGAGACUGACAAAGAGGCAGAUCAGGGGCAGAGCCAGCAUGAUUCAAACACAGCCCUGGCCAAUCAGCAUCUCCUCAUAGAGAUGAAUUGAAUCAAUGAAUCUCUAUGAGGAAAGUUCAGUGUCUACAUGCAGAGGGAGGAGAUACGGAAUGUUUGGAUGCAUUUUAGGCAGCCAUGACCCAGGAAGGAUCUCUAACAGCCAUCUGAGGAGUGGCCAGUGAAGUUAUCACUAGGCUGUAAUGUAAACACUGCAUUUUCUCUGAAAAGACAGUGUUUACAGCAAAAAGCCUGAAGGUAAUGAUUCUGCUCACCAGAACAAAUUCAAUAAGCUGUAUCCUAUACAAUGAUCUGUGUCCUAUACAAUAAGCUGUAUAUCAUUCAAUAAGCUGUAGUUGUUCUGCUGACUAUAGUGUCCCUUUAGGGGUUUUUGCGCUGUGUUAAAUCCAAUAAUAAGAAUAAAAUACUCACAUAAAACAAAGAAUUGAUACUAAUCGGAAAUAAAAUGAAAUGCGCAUGUUACGCGAUGUUUGAAAUCAGUCCAGGAUAUUGGUAAUCUAAAAUAAGAGGCUGAGGGCUGUGUAUAAUGUAUCUCGUGCUCACAUCUGAUUCUCCACCUCAACUGUCUGACAAUAAAGUGACUUAUAGAAUUGUGAACUGAGAACUGAUUUGUAAACAUUGGAGUCAGGAAAACCAUCUACAACCUGGGCGUCAGCUCACUGCUUAGAGCCGAGUUCCCCUAAACCUGGAGCCAAUAGCAAUACAAUUUUUCAUGCCAAGCACGAUCAAUAUAUAUCAAA
Pelobates cultripes (western spadefoot toad) is the source of this 2674-nucleotide non-coding RNA. Lineage: Eukaryota; Metazoa; Chordata; Amphibia; Anura; Pelobatidae. The record is from the annotation of a GenBank genome assembly.